CCAGCAGCCGCGGUAAUUCCAGCUCCAAUAGCGUAUAUUAAAGUUGUUGCAGUUAAAAAGCUCGUAGUUGGAUUUCUGGCAGGAGCGACCGGUCUCACACUCUGUGUGAGAACUCGUGUUGUCUCUGGCCAUCCUUGGGGAGAUCCUGUUUGGCAUUAAGUUGUCGGGCAGGGGAUACCCAUCGUUUACUGUGAAAAAAUUAGAGUGUUUAAAGCAGGCUUAUGCCGUUGAAUAUAUUAGCAUGGAAUAAUAAGAUAGGACUUUGGUACUAUUUUGUUGGUUUGUGCACCAGAGUAAUGAUUAAUAGGGACAGUUGGGGCUAUUCGUAUUCCAUUGUCAGAGGUGAAAUUCUUGGAUUUACCAAAGACUAACUGGUGCGAAAGCGUUUGCCAAGGAUGUUUUCAUUGAUCAAGAACGAAAGG
RNAcentral lists this ribosomal RNA (422 nucleotides) under uncultured eukaryote. Its description in RNAcentral is "SSU rRNA". It matches the Rfam family "Eukaryotic small subunit ribosomal RNA", at positions 567 to 990 of the family's 1831-position model. The record is from RNAcentral.